UGCGUAGGUGGUUUCUUAAGUCAGAGGUGAAAGGCUACGGCUCAACCGUAGUAAGCCUUUGAAACUGGGAAACUUGAGUGCAGGAGAGGAGAGUGGAAUUCCUAGUGUAGCGGUGAAAUGCGUAGAUAUUAGGAGGAACACCAGUUGCGAAGGCAGCUCUCUGGACUGUAACUGACACUGAGGCACGAAAGCGUGGGGAGCAAACA
RNAcentral lists this ribosomal RNA (206 nucleotides) under uncultured bacterium. Its description in RNAcentral is "partial 16S ribosomal RNA". It matches the Rfam family "Bacterial small subunit ribosomal RNA", at positions 568 to 774 of the family's 1533-position model. The record is from RNAcentral.